Molecule: unclassified non-coding RNA, 331 nt
Filed under: Trechispora sp.
Lineage: Eukaryota; Fungi; Basidiomycota; Agaricomycetes; Trechisporales; Hydnodontaceae
Description: partial contains 5.8S ribosomal RNA, internal transcribed spacer 2, and large subunit ribosomal RNA
Rfam family: 5.8S ribosomal RNA (bases 1-71)
Source: RNAcentral
GUGAAUCAUCGAAUCUUUGAACGCACCUUGCGCUCCUUGGUAUUCCGAGGAGCAUGCCUGUUUGAGUGUCUUGAAAUCAUCAAACCCUCUGUCUGAGUAUGGGGGGUUUGGAUCUGGGGGUGUGCUGCUGCAAAGCGGCUCCCUUCAAAUGCAUCGGUUGGACCUGUGGGUCGAACUCGACUGGGCGUUGUAACAUCCUCGCUCUACCGAGAGGUUCCCCUUUGGUGUCCUCCCACGACUGCCUGUGGAGUGGCGGUCAACUUGCUUUGAAAUCUGACCUCAAAUCAGGUAGGACUACCCGCUGAACUUAAGCAUAUCAAUAAGCGGAGGA